Molecule: long non-coding RNA, 294 nt
Filed under: Olea europaea (common olive)
Lineage: Eukaryota; Viridiplantae; Streptophyta; Magnoliopsida; Lamiales; Oleaceae
Description: long non-coding RNA (OEUR_LNC012602)
Source: RNAcentral
GGCCUUCUAGGUAUCUAAUUAAUGGACCAAGUAUUGAAUCCAUAUUUGGGCCUUUUCAUCAUUGCCUAAUAGUUGGACUGGAUCAAAUGGCAUCACAGCCCAACAGAUCUCCACCUUGAUGCCAGUGAUCAUACAAGAAGCCUAAUAAAUGUAAAACACAAUUUAAAUGUCCUUCUCAAGAAGACAGCUUCCCAGCAUUCUCAACAAGCAUCAACCUUAGCACCUGUACAAAACAAAACACUUAACCAGCAUCAAUGUUCAAAAUUUGUAAACAAGAUUUAAACUUGUUUAAAG